GGGCUUGGUGCCCUGAUUUUAAGGCUGAUUCAUAAACAAAGGGUAAAUAAAACAAAAUUAAAAUACCACUAGGUCAAUAAAUCAGCGGUUGAGGGGAAGAGGAGAAAUGGGAGUGCCAACGCAUUUAUUGUAAUAAGGAAGCGUGAACAUGAAGGGACAUCGUAUGAUAUCCUAUGGUUAUUUCUUUUGCAAAAAUCCUAUGCACUAUUUCGAAUGAAAGGAGGAUUUGAAUCAAAUGAACUACUUAUUUGCUGAUAUCACUAUUUCAAAGUCAUCAGAGCAAUUGCUAAAGAGAAAAAUUAUAAAUAUGUUCAGCGACUGAUGCCUGUAAUCCCAGCACUUUGGGAGGCCAAGGUUGGAGGAUCACUUGACUGCAGGAAUUUGAGACCAGCCUGAGCAACAGCACGAAACUCUGUCUUUAUUAUUUUUUGAAAAGUAUAUUUAAAAUUUUUUUAAAUCAUUGUUUCCUUGUUCCCACCUUACAAAAAUAAACUGCUCUGUCAUGCCCAGCAGAGUGCCUUUUCUAAAUUGUUAAAUGAGA
Molecule: long non-coding RNA, 541 nt
Filed under: Homo sapiens (human)
Lineage: Eukaryota; Metazoa; Chordata; Mammalia; Primates; Hominidae
Description: HSALNT0043749
Source: RNAcentral